GUAGGGAAUCUUCGGCAAUGGGGGCAACCCUGACCGAGCAACGCCGCGUGAGUGAAGAAGGUUUCGGAUCGUAAAGCUCUGUUGUAAGAGAAGAACGUGUGUGAGAGUGGAAAGUUCACACAGUGACGGUAACUUACCAGAAAGGGACGGCUAACUACGUGCUAG
RNAcentral lists this ribosomal RNA (165 nucleotides) under uncultured bacterium. RNAcentral describes it as "partial 16S rRNA". It matches the Rfam family "Bacterial small subunit ribosomal RNA", at positions 354 to 511 of the family's 1533-position model. The record is from RNAcentral.